AACGAACCGUGCGAACGUUGCUCGGAAUCACUGGGCUUAAAGGGCGCGUAGGCGGUCUGCCAAGUCCGGGGUGAAAGCCUCCAGCUCAACUGGAGAAGUGCCUCGGAUACUGGCGGACUCGAGCGAGGUAGGGGUCGUGGGAACUUCCGGUGGAGCGGUGAAAUGCGUUGAUAUCGGAAGGAACGCCGGUGGCGAAAGCGCACGACUGGACCUCUUCUGACGCUGAGGCGCGAAAGCCAGGGGAGCAAACGGG
Molecule: ribosomal RNA, 253 nt
Filed under: uncultured bacterium
Lineage: Bacteria
Description: partial 16S ribosomal RNA
Rfam family: Bacterial small subunit ribosomal RNA
Source: RNAcentral